Molecule: long non-coding RNA, 7114 nt
Organism: Anguilla anguilla (European eel)
Lineage: Eukaryota; Metazoa; Chordata; Actinopteri; Anguilliformes; Anguillidae
Exons: 5
Source: RefSeq, a predicted model, not a curated record
CAACAAAAAACGUAAUGGAUAAAUUCUGCUAUUCUACAAUAAGAAGAGGCGUGAACGGUCGUGCAGUUUUACAAAUGUUUUAUUUACAACAGCGUUUAUUUCAAGAAAAAAUAGGAAUCUAUGCAUCAACGUCAAGCAAGCAUUUAAUGUGUCUAAGAAUAAAACUUAAAAUAAUCCCACUCCGUGGUACAUUCUACAGGUAUGCGUUAUGUUUACCACGCAAAAACAGACAUGCGAAAGCACAUGCUUGCUUUGAGGCCGGCCCUGCAGCCAUGCCAUUAGUAUGUAGUAAUGCACUCUAAUAUACCCAGUCCUGCCGUAGGAUUUCCCUCUUCGGUAAUAGCAGGUUGUAAUGGAGAGGAGAUGUAAAAAUGUCUAAGUCAGCACCAUAUUGGUGGUUAAUGAUCUAUUAAGUGAUCCGUGUGCUUAUAGACAGCGAAAAAAAGUGUUGAUGCUUGCUUAUUUAGACUAAUGAGAUUCCCAUCCUACGAAUUUUAAGAAUGAAUAACAGAAAUAAAAUCACCUUUAAAAUGUUGCCUUUAACAGUUGACAAGGUGCUCCGUAGCGGACCUUAUAAUGCCUAUACAGCCUCCCGGCAGCCUACAACGCUGCCGGGAGUUCUUAAGCAUCUGAAAUUAUACAGGCCUGUCAUCGCGUAAAAUAACAAGGGGGCAGUUAAUCUUGUGGCUACGCAAAAGAUUCUACAUGGGACCAGGACUGUACUUGCAAGAAUUUAGGACAGAUCACCAGCGCUGAUGUAUAUAGGAAUGAAGAAGUGGGCUGCAGUGGCCGCCCGCGACCCCGGCCCCACGCGCGUCACCCCGAGCCCUGACAGGCGUGGUCCUGCCGGAGCUGCCAGGGAAAGGGUAAGGAAAUGCCAGCUCUUUCAGCAGGGACCGGCGCACUGUCGAUGGUCCCCAACCCCCUCUGACAAACAGCGGCCCCAGGACCUGCUAGUCACAAUAACUGCUCACGUUUGCAAACAGCAUUAAUGUAUGUGACAGAAUUAUAAUACACAUAUACACAGGGGGAGGUGGGGUGGGGGAGGCAGAGCUAUUAAUGCUCUGACAAAGUAACGAGAAAACACUGGAUGGGAGUCAACACCUUCACUGCCAAGGUGCUCUAGCCACAUUGAAAUGGUACUGAACCACACACAGAGCACAGUACACUGAAUUACACUGAAUUUUACUCAGUCAUUUCAUUGUAUGUAGCCUAGCCCAUGCUUCAAAUAUGUACAGAGAGAGCUGAUGGAGAGUGAGGUUCUUCUAUAUGAGUAAAUAAUGGAUGUGAAACCAAAUAUGAAAAAGUUUCAUUUGGUCAAGGCAAUGCUCUUAACAAAAACAGUAACAAAAUGUGAAUGUUAGUAUUUAAAGAGGGCUUAUUUAAUAGGAUGAUGAAUCUGAACAGCUUCUAAUGUUAUGAAAUAAAAAAAAUAAAAAACAUUUACAACUGCUAUAGUGCAAUCUAGUCCAUGUAUUGUCCAUUUACACUUUGCAUCACAAACAAAUUUAUAUGCCAUUAAUAUAUUUGUAACUGCGUGAUUCUUUGUCUCAUUUCCCCACCCCAUAAAUAAUGAUACAUGUCAUUGGGUGGCCAGUAAGCCAGUGUUGAGGUUCAAAAUUCUCAAUUGCACCAGGAAUAAAACAGGUCUGUGCCUGGAUUUACAAAAUAAAAACAAUCUUAAAAAAAAAAAAUCUCUCGGAGAGGCCGGGAGAGGCGUUGGGACCCUCUUCUGGGGCUGACGGCUGUGAAGCGGAGAUUUGUACAGAAAUAAGGCUUGUAAAUAAAUCUGUUUGGGGACUGGGGGUGUUCAGAUGAAUUAUGGUCCCCAGGAUGUGGAGCAAUGUGAAAAACUCAGGAACGCCAGGGAAUAACAAAUCUCCUGGUGUCGUUACCGGGCAAAACAAAUACCCCGCUCCGCAAAAGCUAUCCAUCUGGGAUAUGAAUCUUAACAAAGACGUCCCUUCCAACCCCCCACUCCCUCUUCACUUAUUUAUUUAUAAAUUUGUAUUAUUUAUUUAUUUGUUUGUUUGUUUAUUUAAAUGGAAGCACCUACUGGGAAUAAGGGGAGUAUUUAUUGGUUUUUAUAAAUGCAACGUCAUUCAUCUUUCCUUAUAAUGUCCUUUACCAUUACGAGACUCAAAAUUGGGGGAAGCUAGGAGCUGUAAGUAACGAUCAAUCACCGUAAAUUAAAUAAUUGAAUAUAAGGGCUGACAAUUUAAAAGUCUUAGUUAUACUGUAUAUUGAAUUAAUGAAGCAAAAUUAAAAGGAAAGGCCAGCCAGCGGCAAUGUGUCAUCUCAAGAUUUCAGUUCAAAUCAAUAAAAAAGAGACUUUGAAGCAAGUGGAAAUAAACCAAGUUAAAUUUCUGAGACAUAAAGUGAGUAUUCACCAUUUAUAAGCUACUCAAAGAAUUAUGAUACAAAUAGAUGUGAAUGAAUGCUUUUAGAGUUUGCUUUUGCUAAAUGCAUAGGUUUCAGUUUUUAUAGGUUUGCUACUUUCAUAUUUGCACUUUGAGUCAGAGCAUUACUUAAUUUGGUAAAAAUUGAAAGCCCAAGUAUUUAUCUAGCUUUUCUUCUGAAGUAAAGGAAGGCAUUUGAUUUUUAAAGGGGCUGUGGAAAGCUCUCUGGUUUAAAUACUGUUCCCAAUAACAAAGGCAUUUCAUUCCCAUUAAUUAGGUCAGAGCCGACCCUGCCUGUGGAUCCGAGCGGGUCACUGAAUCAUUCCCGGGAUGAAUAUUAGCCUGUUGUUUGCAAAUAGGUGAUAUAUGGUGCCUAUAUCCUUUGGUGAUGAAUGUUUUUUAAAAAUUUCCUCUCCUUUAUCAAUUGACUAACAAACUCAUGUAUCACUGCCACUCUUGCUCGCUUUCCACAUAAAUUAAAUAACCCGCUUCUUGUUCUUCUCUUGUUUUCCUCUCGCUCUCCUCCCCCCCCAGGUCCGGGCCACCCCAUGUUGUUGUUGUUCCUGCAGUGCAGUAGUUUAAAGUAUUAUCAUUAGUGAAUGCAUUAAGGUGAAAUGCCUCUCUAAAGCUGGCGCUCUUCCUCUCUCCCACAUGCAGGCACACAUAUACCCCAUCAUGCACUUGUGCUGCCGGCCAGAUCGGCGGUGCAGAUAGAGCCCUUAAGUGAAUAGGAGGGAAUAAUGGCCGUAAAAGGAAUAAUUCAGUGCAGAGUGGAGCUGUUUAAUCUUGGCCAGGGGGACGGUGGCAUGCGGUGAUGGCAGUAAGUGUUGUUGUGUAAUUAGGGAGUAUUUAUCAAAAGGAAUAGCCCCACAGCCCAGGCAAGGCACUGUCGCAGCCUCGCAGGCUGAAAGGUUAUUCUUAUAAUCACAGGGGUGUGUAACGAGCGCCAGGACAAAAAACACGCACACAAACUACACUACACACACACAUUCUACCAUGCACAUAAAAGCACACACAUCUAUGUAUACACAAAAUACAUGCAUACAGUAGACUAUAUGGGUAUAUAUGACGACUGUGCACAUGCCUAAAAUGUACAGCCUGCACUACACCUCAGACACAAGUACACAUCCCUGUGCACAUAGCACAUGCACACACACACACACACACACACGCCACACACACAUACACAUGCACGCACGCAUGCGCAAACAAGCACACACGAACGCUGUUCUGGACACAAGGUUAUCUGCUAGGAUAUGGACAUUCUAAGUGGAGCCACACAGAUGCAACAAAGGUGAAGUCAGUUUAACUUCAGUGAAACAGGACAGACAUAUUUUCCUAAUUGAGUCAAACUCCCCCAAAAUCUGUGGCUAUGAUGAUCACUUGGAGACACCAGCCUGAAAUUGGUCAAUAAAAUUUGGUUGAAUGUAGCAUUUUAAGGACAUUAGCGCACCUUUUAUUUGUCUCUGAUCCUUCUAAAGGCUCAUCAAAAAGCGCUCUUAGUCCUGAAGCCUUCCUAAUUAGAUGCAAAAAUGAAUACUUACGGAUACUGAGCACACACCCUCAGUGUAUAAUGACGCCACACAGGGAAGAUUUCCCACCGUAUUGUGAUGAGGCUCCUGUCAUUUACUGUUAUUCCCUUUUUGAUCAUUAGCUGCAGUAGAGGUACUGGUUUUAUGCCGCAGGUUGAAUAUGCAUGUAAAUGGGACAACAUGGGGUGUAAUUGGUAAAACUGUGUCAGAGUGUUGCAGGACUGGGUCCAAAGUGGGAUUCAGCUGUUGUUUUAUCUUUGAACAGAGCACUUUACCUGACUUGCUCCAGGAAAAAAAAAACUGCUAUUGGAAAUGGGUGAUUAUGAAAAGGAAACACACUGUCUCACCUACAGGACACCUGCUAAGCAAAAUAAAUUAUGGCAACAAUCUUGCACUGCAUAUUGGAAUCCAAAGGCAGAAAAAAUGCAGACAUCUUUACAUUUUUUUUCAAGGAAUCGAAGAUCUUUUUCUUUUCUUAUAUUAUAAUAGACUGGGCUAUAGUUCAGACCUGUGUACUUACAAAACUUAUUCUUCUGAUCAAACUAAAGACAUCCCAGUGUCUAAAACAGCCAAAGCCUUGUUUCUCUUUUUCAGCCACCCCACAUUGCUCUCUCACUGCUGCUCUAGAAGAAAACCCACAGGAGCAGGGAAGGGGGCAUCUCUCUAGGAGAGAGUGCUUUGUGUCCUGUGUGUCCCGGGCUCUGCUUUGUGUCCUGUGUGUAACUGAGGAUAACCUGAGCAUCAGGCCAAAUCAGCUGCCAGCGGCUCAGUGACCCGCUCUGGAUCCGCUGAAGUGCCCCCUGCACUGCACCUCCAUGCAGAUCCACAGUGACAGAUGCCCCCCCUGUCUCUCUCCUUCCAGGAGCGUAAGGAAGACCUCAUUUCAGACGGACCUGUGCAGGGAGCACGCUCCAUCACAGGAGGGGGAAGCAUGAAAGAUUCAGCAGCCCUCAAGUCUAGUUUUUACACGCUGCAGCGCGACCGAGGGGAAUGGGAUGAAAUUGACGAAGAUGAAAUGAGCGGUGCAUCGAUGAUUGGUUUAACUACCCCUCCCCUCCCCUCCCCUGCCACCUGCCUCCCCGCUCACACAUUCCUACAGCAGCCCUUCUGAGCAUUCCCAAAGUUGUCCUCCAUUGUUUCCCAGGGCUGAGUGAGGCUGUGCCUAUCCAAGCCAUGCUCUCUCACUCCCUCCCUCCUUCUCUCCCACUUAGCCAAGGUCAGUCUGGGUUACCAAGGUCACCGACUCCUCGCAAAAUGGUUCCAGAUGGAAUCAGUGCUCAGGACUCCAACACCACCACCCCCCCCCACCCUAUUUCUCCAACUGACAGAAACAAUAACAAGAUCCAGCCAGACCUGGGCUUACCCGGAAAGCGGGGAGGGUGAGGGUGGCACCUGUCCCGCUUUAGUCUACGGCGUGAUCGGGAGACGGGUCCCCAGCUGCGGACGCGUCCACCUGUCUGUCCCGAGCUGACGUUCCCCCGAACCCGGAAGCAUUUGCCUGCAAGCGUUUGAACAAUUGGAGGCUCAUACAGACACCAGUGGCCAGGUCCAGUGUGGUGAUCCAUCUCUGUCAGCCUGCUAAAAUGAUAACGCCAAUUAAAUGAGUAGAGUAAUUGCCCUCGGGUCCCAGAAGGCCCUCCCUGGAAGCGGCGGCCAUGGAAUAGGAAUGAGACCUGGCCCCCAGAGGAGCAGGGCGAGAGGAGCAGAGAGAGGAGGAGGGUGUGUUGGGGUGAUUUGUAACUUUUAACCUCUGCUGAUCACCGAUGGCCUUGGCAGAGGGAAAAAAAAAAAAAACUAUCCAGGGUCCACUUGACAGGACUUACUGCCCACGCCACUGCACUCAACACUGCACGGCAAAUGCCUAACUAAACAUGAAGGCUUCAUAGCACUGCACUCAACACAGCACGGAAAAUGCCUAACCAAACAUGAAGGCUACAUAGCACUGAACUCAACACUGCACAGCAAAUGCCUAACAAACAUGAAGGCUUCAUAGCACUGAACUCAACACUGCACGGAAAAUGCCUAACCAAACAUGAAGGCUACAUAGCACUGAACUCAACACUGCACAGCAAAUGCCUAACAAACAUGAAGGCUUCAUAGCACUGAACUCAACACUGCACAGCAAAUGCCUAACCAAACAUGAAGGCUUCAUAGCACUGCACUCAACACUGCACGGCAAAUGCCUAACAAACAUGAAGGCUUCAUAGCACUGAACUCAACACUGCACGGAAAAUGCCUAACCAAACAUGAAGGCUACAUAGCACUGAACUCAACACUGCAUGGCAAAUGCCUAACAAACAUGAAGGCUUCAUAGCACUGAACUCAACACUGCACAGCAAAUGCCUAACCAAACAUGAAGGCUACAUAGCACUGAACUCAACACUGCACAGAAAAUGCCUAACCAAACAUGAAGGCUUCAUAGCACUGCACUCAACACUGCACGGCAAAUGCCUAACCAAACAUGAAGGCUACAUAGCACUGAACUCAACACUGCAUGGCAAAUGCCUAACCAAACAUGAAAGCUUCAUAGCACUGCACUCAACACUGCACGGCAAAUGCCUAACCAAACAUGAAGGCUACAUAGCACUGAACUCAACACUGCAUGGCAAAUGCCUAACCAAACAUGAAGGCUACAUAGCACUGCACUCAACACUGCACAGAAAAUGCCUAACCAAACAUGAAGGCUACAUAGCACUGAACUCAACACUGCAUGGCAAAUGCCUAACCAAACAUGAAAGCUUCAUAGCACUGAACUCAACAAUGCACUGCAAAUGCCUAACCAAACAUGAAAGUGUUGUACAACAGCACUCAACACUGUACUGCAAAAGCAAACUGCUAACUGCACUGAAAGUCUAGCCAUUGUAUUCAGGAGGACACUGCAAAUGGCUGACUGGAUUUAAAUGCUUCACAUCACUUAACUCUACUACACAGUAAUAUUUUCCUAAAUGCAAAAAGGCUCACAUUGGUCAACAUUGGCAAAUUGCCAGCCAAACACAAAAAGUCUCAUCGACACUUUGAAAUAUGGUGCAGUUUAAAUAGCAUUAUAUCACUAAAGACAUGUGGUGGUGAGAUAAUGUUGGUAAUUGGUAGGCUUCAUUGAGAAUGCUCUAUGUGAGGUUACAAUAUGCACUUUUUAGAUAGAAUAAUAUGACAAAACAACAGUGACCAAAAUGGAAACCCUCA